This 77-nucleotide transfer RNA is filed under the name Aureimonas glaciei. Its description in RNAcentral is "tRNA-Arg". It matches the Rfam family "tRNA". From Rfam's summary of the family: Transfer RNA (tRNA) molecules are approximately 80 nucleotides in length. Their secondary structure includes four short double-helical elements and three loops (D, anti-codon, and T loops). RNAcentral also lists the same sequence under 1 other name. The record is from RNAcentral. Lineage: Bacteria; Pseudomonadati; Pseudomonadota; Alphaproteobacteria; Hyphomicrobiales; Aurantimonadaceae.
GCGCCCGUAGCUCAGCUGGAUAGAGCACCAGACUACGAAUCUGGGGGUCAGGGGUUCGAAUCCCUUCGGGCGCACCA